RNAcentral lists this ribosomal RNA (392 nucleotides) under uncultured Chrysophyceae. RNAcentral's name for it is "partial small subunit ribosomal RNA". It matches the Rfam family "Eukaryotic small subunit ribosomal RNA", at positions 30 to 432 of the family's 1831-position model. Lineage: Eukaryota; Chrysophyceae. The record is from RNAcentral.
GCUUGUCUCAAAGAUUAAGCCAUGCAUGUCUAAGUAUAAACGAUUAUACUGUGAAACUGCGAAUGGCUCAUUAUAUCAGUUAUAGUUUAUUUGAUGGUCCUUACUACUUGGAUAACCGUAGUAAUUCUAGAGCUAAUACAUGCAUCAAUCCCCGACUUUUUGAAGGGGUGUAUUUAUUAGAUGGAAACCAAUGCGGGGCAACCCGGAAUAUGGUGAAUCAUAAUAACUUUCGGAUCGAUCGCAAGAUCGAUGCAUCAUUCAAGUUUCUGCCCUAUCAGCUUUGGAUGGUAGGGUAUUGGCCUACCAUGGCUUUAACGGGUAACGGAGAAUUAGGGUUCGAUUCCGGAGAGGGAGCCUGAGAAACGGCUACCACAUCCAAGGAAGGCAGCAGG